CCUCAGUUCGGAUUGAAGGCUGAAAUUCGCCUUCAUGAAGUCGGAAUUGCUAGUAAUGGCAGGUCAGCAUACUGCCGUGAAUACGUUCCCGGGCCUUGUACACACCGCCCGUCACACCAUGAGAGUUGGGAAUACCCGAAGCCUGUGAGCUAACUUUUAGAGGCAGCAGUCGAAGGUAGAAUCAAUGAUUGGGGUGAAGUCGUAACAAGGUAUC
RNAcentral lists this ribosomal RNA (214 nucleotides) under uncultured bacterium. Its description in RNAcentral is "partial 16S ribosomal RNA". It matches the Rfam family "Bacterial small subunit ribosomal RNA", at positions 1286 to 1500 of the family's 1533-position model. The record is from RNAcentral.